UUUUUUUUCGUCCCACCUCCCAUGAUUUUUUUUGGUACCUCGUCCCACCUCACACUAAGCCGCCACGAACCGCAAAAACCGCCUACCUUAGCCAAAUCAACAAAUCUCUCUCAUUAAUGCAAUUUUCUUUAGGAAACAAAUAAUAGAUUCUUUCCUACCUUAGCCAAAUCAACGGAUCUCUUCUAUUAAUGCAAUUUGCUUUAGCAAACAAAUAAUAGAUUCUUUCCUACCUUAGCCAAAUCAACGGAUCUCUCCCAUUAAUGCAAUUUGCUUUAGCAAACAAAUAAUAGAUUCUUUCCUACCUUAGCCAAAUCUACGAAAUCUCUCUCAUUAAUGCAAUUUGCUUUAGGAAACAAAUAAUAGAUUUUCAGGAAACAAAUAAUCUCUAAUCUCUAAUAAUUUCUACUCCUAAUAAAACAGUUGGUAGUCUCCUCCCACCUUCCAUGGUUUUUUUUGGUACCUCCUCCCACCUUCGCUGGUUUUUUUUCGUAGAUUUUUUUCGUCCCCUCCCCUCACUUCAUCGGUUUAUUUUCGCGUCACCCUCUCACACAACGAAAGAAAUCUAAAUAGAUCAGAACUUUUCAUACUGGCGCAAGUUAUUUAGUAAUGUAGAAUCAAUCUCGAACAAUCUCUAAAGAUCAAAUCUAAAUUAAUUAACCUUACCUUAAAUCACUCAAUUACAUUAAUUAGAAAACAAAUAAUUGAUUUUCAAAAAAUUGCUCAAUCACGUAAACCUUACCUUAACUCACGGAUGGUAAUCAAUCUCCAAACAAAGGAAACAAUACAUCGAGGGAGCAGUAAAUAAACUCCCUUUCUUAUGACAUGUAUAUGACCUUUCCUUCCCUCUACGUUGUCGAGCGUUCUUGAUUCUCGAGGCCGGUGCUUGGGCUGCGUCACUGGGUCGCGAUGGUGCUGGAGGACGAGGACGGCGAGGCCGGGUGCCGCGGCACCGCGUUGGCCGCGGCCGGUGAAGGGGGCAAAGAAGGGCGGCUUCCCUGGCCCUGGCCAUGGCCGUGACCCUGGGAGUUGGUGCGGUGGAAGUGGCACUUGAAGGACACGGCGUGGGUGGCCGAUGCGCAGACGCGCUUGGAAGCGGGCCCGUGGCCCAUGCCGGACGGCACCGACGCCGACCCGGACCACCUCCUCCGCGUAUUCUUGGAGCUGUGGCUGGCUGAUUUACAUGAAAUUAAUUCCCUCAGUUGUGGUGGCAAAUGUAAUACACAUAAUCCAUAUUGUUAUGUACUAGCGUGUGUGUGAAAUAGAUGGAUUAUGGUCCCGUACCCAAUAAGAUGGAUAUGUGUGUGUGUUAGAGAGAGAGAGAGAGAGAGAGAGGGAAAGGGGGAGAGAGUGAGGAAGAGGGAGGCAGAGAGUGUGUGUGAGGAAUUGAUGGUAAAAAAGGUCGCCAAUGUCACUUGAUAUAUAUGAGAAUAUUAAUAUUGAACUUUUAAAGUUAAUGUGGUCCCCGUUGCAACGCACGGGUGUUGUUCUAGUUCAUGUAGUGUAUGACAUUUGUGGUCCCUUCUCUAUAUGCUUCGUUUCACGCUUAGUACUGGCCCUCACAAAAGCGUUGUGACGGAGUAGACUGAUGCAGAAGUUCUCUUGGUUGUGGUGGCCUGACCCACAUCAUCGUAAAAAAGGAUUUGCUAUUCCCUCAUUGAUCGACUUAGUUUCUGUUAAGUUUUGCUCAACCAAGCUUAGUAGCCAUUCUUUCCUCUGUUUUUUCGUUAUGUAUAUCUUCUAUUUAUUUUAUUUGUUUUCAACCGCACAAGACAAAGAUCCCACGGUGCACAUGCAUGAGUUUUCGCUCACGCUUUUAAUGAGGAUCAGACUUGUGGUUGUUCAACCAUGGGAUAAAAAUUCAACAGCUCACCGAGCUUUGCUAGAGCUACGGACAAGACUUACGGACCAAGAGUUACAGGCUGAUAUGCCAUAUAUUAAUUGGAAACAGUGGACCCGUAAUUAAAAACCAGGUAGGAAUGGAUUGGCGAGGUGAUGGACAAGUCAGUCCGUAGGGAGUAUUCCGUGCGUUUCAGCCCGUAGGUGUAGAAUUUUCGUUACUGGAACGACUCACGUGCUCAGUACAAGCCUGGCCGCUGCCAUAUGCGCAUGCAAGAGCCAGCCUGCACCAACGCGAAUCCCUUGAAUAAUAGCCGUAGGAUUUUUCUAUCCGACGGUACAUAUUACACCACAAUGAUUGAGGGCCCGAGCAAACCAACUUGAGCCAUUCGAUCAAAACUAUCCAACAGUUUAUAUUGUGAGUUACUCGUAUGUUAUAUCUAUACCACUAUAUAGUGUACGAGUUUUGAAUGGAUUAGAACAGCAAUCCUGAUCGUUGGUGCUCUCAAUCUAACGGUUGGGAGCAGUGGGAUUCGCAUGAACAGUGGCUGCUCCAAACCAAUUUCUAAUAUUUCUAAAAUUUGAUGUGUGACCCACCAUCUGACCAUGCUCUGGAUCUUUCCACUAUGGGCUGGACUACACACUUGUUGCUCUAAAUUAUUUUAUUCGUACUACCUGGGUACAUGCAUGCAACGGCUACAUGCAUGCAUCGACCGCUUCACCAGAGACUAGCAUGCGAGCCUAGCAUUGCAAUGCUGUAUGCAUGGUGAACUUUUUGAUUUUCUUAUUAUUUGAAACAAGUAGUAAGGUAUCUAGGAUAAUUAGAAUGAGAAAAAAAUGUGCAAAUAACCUAUGAAAUAGUACGUUUUGACUUUUUUAUUUUCUUAGCUGACAUGAGAUUGAGAGGGUGAAAAUUUAUAAUUAAUCACACUUCUUCUUUUCACAUCAUUUUUCUAAAAAAAAAGUUUAGUACGAGUCCAAUAAACAGAAGCACUUCCUACACAAUUUUUAUAUAUAAAAGGCCAAAGAUUAUAUCUAAUGUUUCAUACAAAGAAAAUCAUUGUACUAUGUUUAUUGGGGGGAUAGUUGUUAUCUUGCCUUGCGAACCCCAAAAAUGAUUCCACAAAUGCCUAUUGGAUAUCUCAAUUUGAAGCUUCUAUGAACCAAUGUGUGCUUUAGUUUUUUUACACUAAUUUAGUACCAUGCUUAUAUGUAAUCAGCUGACGUGCAAAGCACGUACAAAUUACUAGUAGUAGUAGUAUAGAUAUACAUAUAGAUAUCCUCCCAAUGAAAUCAAAUGUGUAGAUGUACGUGUGUAUCAAACAAAUGGAUUAUCUGGUUAUAUCUUCCGAAUCAAAUCACUGCUGCAGCAGCUUUACAUCUGAUUAUCUGAAACAAAUGGGCUAUCUGGUUACUCUUUGUUUUCGGAAACUGCACGCUUACGCGAUUAUCUGAAACGUUGGCGGCCAAGUCUUGUGUUCUUGCCUACCUGCCCCUACCACCCACUUGCUAGGUCCCCUGUUAAUUGUUGGAAAUAAUGCACCGGUUCAGAGAAUUCCAAGUCUGAUGCUUUGGGCAUAUCCUGUCACGUAACAAACUGAAACUUUAUGCACGUACGUUGCUGGCCGUUCGGCAAGCUGCAACUCCUUCCUGAGUCCUCUGCUAGGACGUGAGCAUUAUCCUGUUGUUCCUCCCGAUUCUCCUGGUUCCUCACAUACCACAAGUGCUGAGCCGCCGUCUGAACGAAGCCGGCCGUGCUGUCCGUCGUGCAACGGCAGCCCGGCGAGCGGCCUCCGUGACUCCGGCCACAUCCUUCGACCCUGCACGGGGGCGGUCUAGAGUUUUCUGGGCAGCACCCGCGCGACCGCUCCUUCGCCGUCCUCGACGACAUCAUCUCCGCUUCGUCGACGUCCUCGACAACAUCGUCUCCGGUGACCGCUGCUUCCUCAACGUCCUCAUCGACAUCAUAUCUGCGACCGCUGCUUCCUCUACGAGAUCGUCUCCGACAAACUCCAUCCACGAACACCAGUGCACCGACUUCUAGACUGUAAGUUGCAUCUGCUCAUUUCUAGUAAAAGAUAAAUCCGUCCAUGUUCUAGCCGUUCUCCAUCAGGUUUAUCCAGUGCUUUAGACUGUUUUCUGCUCCUGCUGCUGGUGGUUUCAGCCAUGUCCUCUGUGUUCGAUAGAUUCAGUAUCUCUGUUUUAAUCUGCCUGUACUACUACUCGGCCGACACUAGUAUGGUAUAUAGUCCUAGCUCGUUACGUGAUGUUUUCUUUUGCAUGCUAAUUAUACAUGGUUGGGUGCUAUCAAUCUGCUCAUUUCUGAAUCUAUGUUGCAUGCUUCUGAAGAAAACCAUUUGGCUGUUUAACCUGCUCCUGUACGUACUAGUUAAAGGAAUUAAAUUGAUGACAAAUUAUGUAUUGUUUCUAGCAUUAAUAUGGGCUUUCGUCCCCUGUUAAUGAUUAAAAAUUCAGGUGAGGAAAAAUUCUCCCCUGGUGAAAUUUCAAAGAAAAAUUGCCGGGAGAUCCAAACCAUUUCAGAUCCUUGAUUUGUAAGUGGUCAAUUAUCAGCAUCAAUUUCGAAUGCAAGCUUUAAGUUUCUUGAAGUAGCAAAACGUUGUUAAUCAAGUUUUGCCACGCACACAAACACAGCUUACAUGCCUAUGAAAUUAGUUUCACCAUAGAAAAAGGCUGGCCAUACUUUCUUUACUACCCAAGUGGAGCUCCACUUCUCAAUAAGGAUCAAACUAUUUGUUUCAGGCAAGCAUUCGUGCAAAACUUUCAGAGAUGCAAAACCACCUUCCCAGCUUUAAGCCCGAGAAGAAACUGAUUAAACAUGUUGGAAACAAGAAUCCACAGCGACAGUCGUCCAUUCAAGCAGCAAGAUAACUAUUUAUUCAGGCAGCACCAUUGUUACAGGAUGACACUGUCAGAACACACACAGCUAGCUACAGAACUCAUCAGACAGGGAACAGGAAAGAAACACAAGAACUAAUGCACGAGGAGCCUAGGACGAGGUGAACUUGGUGACGGCCUUGGUGCCCUCGGAGACGGCGUGCUUGGCGAGCUCGCCAGGGAGGACGAGGCGGACGGAGGUCUGGAUCUCGCGGGACGUGAUGGUGGGCUUCUUGUUGUAGCGCGCGAGCUUGGCGGACUCACCGGCGAGCUUCUCAAAGAUGUCGUUG
This 5021-nucleotide long non-coding RNA is filed under the name Triticum aestivum (bread wheat). RNAcentral's name for it is "long non-coding RNA (TAES_LNC009866)". Lineage: Eukaryota; Viridiplantae; Streptophyta; Magnoliopsida; Poales; Poaceae. The record is from RNAcentral.